UCCCUGGUGGCUCAGACGGUAAAGCGUCUGUCUACAAUGUGGGAGACCUGGGUUCGAUCCCUGGGUCAGGAAG
RNAcentral lists this transfer RNA (73 nucleotides) under Haemonchus contortus (barber pole worm). RNAcentral describes it as "tRNA, Pseudo". Lineage: Eukaryota; Metazoa; Nematoda; Chromadorea; Rhabditida; Trichostrongylidae. The record is from RNAcentral.